UACGAGAAAAUCUACCCAAAAAACUGAAGAGAUUGGUGUUUCAUGGAGGAGGUGGGAGAAGACACUUGGAAAAAGAGAAGGAGAGAGAGAGACUGGUGGACUCCUGGUGACUGUGUGGCUGGUUUGUAUGUUUGAGUCAGAGCAUAAUGGUGAACUGCAGAACCAUCAAGCCUCUGAACGCAGCGAUCAGUCUGGACGAGGAGCUCACCUCAGCAGGUCGUGUUCCCAGCGGCACCAAGGGGUCUCCUCUUCCUUUCACUGUCAUUUCAAAGCGCGCUCACGCAGAGGGCCUCUGCUGGCUCGUGUCCCGUGACAGAUUUCCCAACAGCUGGUCAGACCUGGACUCCUGAUUGGCUCUGAUCCGGCAAAAACAUUGUCAUCAGCUCUGUACUGUUUGGUUGUGUUUGGUUGUAUUUUAACUCUUUACUCUGGCUGUUUGUUUUCUUUUCUAUGUAAAGACGGUAACCUUUUCCAUGGUGAACAACAUGCCCAUGUCUCACCACCACUACUACUAACUUAAAGAGAUUUUAAGUGUAAGAAACUGACUACUGUGCUGUAUUAUUGGACUGAAGACUUUUGAGGUUUUUAUGAAAUAAAAUCCAUUGCGUUCAUAUUUCCAGAGGCAAGUGUGUACGUUUUCUACUGUCUUAGUUAUAUCACUUGUAAAUGUGCAGCUGAACAUCACAUGACAUGAAUGAAGUGUGGAUGAACACUGAGAGGUGAAGAUGCUGCUUCUUUCAGGUGUUUCUUUCUCAGACAGCUUUGGUACAUUUUGUAAGUUUGUACUUUUAUUUGUUGUUUUAUCUUUAUUUUUAAAACCAGUAUGUUAUGUUACUCUGCUGCUUAAAGGGGCAUUUUAACAUUUUAGGAAUCAUUUAAUUCAAGGUAGAAGAGAAGGUUGAUAUCACUUACAUACUAGACGUUACAGCUAGCAGCCAGUCAGCUUAGCUUAGCAUAGCAUUAAUGUGUAAACAUGGGGAAACAGCUAGCCUGCCACUUUGAUUUAAACUCCCCGUAACACUGAAGAGUUGACAUUUUCUUGACUUUACUUUUUAAUAAAUUACACUGAUGGGUCUUUGUUACUUUGGGACAGAGCCAGGCUUGCUUUUUACCCAUUUCUAAUCUUCAUGCUAAGCUAAUUGCUGCUGCUGCUGCUGCUGCUGUAUAUUAUUUGGCCAAUUAUAAACUAAACAAGGAAGAAAAUAUGCCACAAAAUGUCAACCUUGCCCCUAAAAUCUCUGCUCUUUUCUUCACAAGUGUCCACUCUAAAAAUAGUUGGGAUGUUGGUGAUAACUUUGCUAAUUGUCUUUGUGUUGAUUUUCUCUCUUGUUGUCUUAGGGGUUCAGUUUAUUGUACCUUUAAUGGCCUUUAUAGGCUAAUAAAAGUUCUUGUCUCCACUUCGUAAACUGCUAACUAACAUUUGGAAACGCUUACUGUCCCAUUAAGGAGGUACACUGGAGUGAAGAGCUGCACAGAAAUGUUCUACCUGGAUGCUCUGUCACAUCCCAGCUCUUGAAGAAUUUAGUGGUUAAUAGUCUUUUACUUUGAUCUGAAGAGAAGCGGUGCCUUCACAGCUCUCCUUGUGUUGCAGCUCCGUCAUUAUGGCACAUAAAAACAACUUGGCCACCAAUGGAUGUAUUCAUCUUUUGAUUGUCAAAAUAAUACAGAACGUUUGAACUAAAA
This is a non-coding RNA of Labrus bergylta (ballan wrasse), 1683 nucleotides long. The record is from RefSeq and is a predicted model, not a curated record. NCBI's taxonomy places the organism in Eukaryota, Metazoa, Chordata, Actinopteri, Labriformes, Labridae.